This is a long non-coding RNA of Lolium rigidum, 192 nucleotides long. RefSeq lists it as uncharacterized. The transcript is spliced from 3 exons. The record is from RefSeq and is a predicted model, not a curated record. Lineage: Eukaryota; Viridiplantae; Streptophyta; Magnoliopsida; Poales; Poaceae.
AAUCUGGUCACACUUCCAGGAUAUUGUGUUGCCGGAACCAUUGGCCACAAAUUGAUGUCUGGAAAACCUACCAAGAUUGAUUUAGACAAAGAUACCCAUGUUGAUGUCAGAUGUCAGAUCCAUCAGCUGUCAUUCAGUCCUCACACAGACUCCAAAGGGAUCAUGGAUCUUACAGAAUUUCUUUCACCUAAC